UAAGAGUUUGAUCAUGGCUCAGGACGAACGUUAGCGGCGCGCCUAACACAUGCAAGUCGCACGAGAAAGGGCUUCGGCCCCGGUAAAGUGGCGCACGGGUGAGUAACACGUGGGUAAUCUGCCCUCGAGCUGGGGAUAACGGUCCGAAAGGACCGCUAAUACCGAAUAAGACCACGACCUCGAAAGAGGAUGCGGUCAAAGCUGGCCUCUAUUCAUAAGCUAGCACUUGAGGAUGAGCCCGCGGCGCAUCAGCUAGUUGGUGAGGUAAUGGCUCACCAAGGCUAAGACGCGUAGCUGGUCUGAGAGGAUGAUCAGCCACACUGGGACUGAGACACGGCCCAGACUCCUACGGGAGGCAGCAGUGGGGAAUAUUGCACAAUGGGCGCAAGCCUGGUGCAGCAACGCCGCGUGCGGGAAGAAGGCUCUCGGGUCGUAAACCCCUUUUGCCGGGGAAGAUAAUGACGGUACCCGGCGAAUAAGCCACGGCUAACUACGUGCCAGCCGCCGCGGUAAUUC
This 516-nucleotide ribosomal RNA is filed under the name uncultured bacterium. Its description in RNAcentral is "bacterial SSU rRNA". It matches the Rfam family "Bacterial small subunit ribosomal RNA", at positions 1 to 526 of the family's 1533-position model. The record is from RNAcentral.